CCUAAGACACAUUGAUUUACAAAGUGGCUUAAUGAGCUGCACACUGCUGCUGAAAUCAUUUACAAUCAGAAGUCAGUCAUACCCUGGCCUGCAGGCUGGUUUCUGAGUGCAACUCAGCUCAACUAUUUUCCCAUCAUAAGUGCAAUCCUUUCACAAUACAAGGAAAAUGUAGCAUUAGGAUUGCAUUCCUAACACUACAGUGCCAAUGUUCCUAGUUAAAUACAGGCCCACCCACACACACACACAUCCAUAAAAAUUAUUAAGAACGGUUUUGCUAACCUUUUCCCAGUGCUGACGCUCCAUCGGUGACUCUCACCUCUUCCAGCACCUUCUCC
Pelobates cultripes (western spadefoot toad) is the source of this 335-nucleotide non-coding RNA. Lineage: Eukaryota; Metazoa; Chordata; Amphibia; Anura; Pelobatidae. The record is from the annotation of a GenBank genome assembly.